Non-coding RNA from Pelobates cultripes (western spadefoot toad), 316 nucleotides. NCBI's taxonomy places the organism in Eukaryota, Metazoa, Chordata, Amphibia, Anura, Pelobatidae. The record is from the annotation of a GenBank genome assembly.
GUCUGAGCGCCAUUCGCUUAAUAAUGUGUGCUCAGACCUGAGCUAUCUGGGGAUAUGUAGAACGUAUAUGUUUUAUGUACUGAAUGUAACUGUAGGUAAUUUUAUGUCUUUUACUGUUUGUUUUCUGCCAUGUGGUUAAUGGAGGUUUGCCUCUGUCUUUGGAGAUAAUUGAAUUACUUCUCAAUUAUCUCCAGAGCAGAGAGGAGGGAUUGUGAUGCAUUGUGGGAUGGUUGAAAUGUGUAAGUCUGUGAUUGGUCCUUUUACCCUUUGUGUCACAGUCUCCCAUUUGGUCCCCUAGGGGAGUGUCCACCAGGUG